Molecule: ribosomal RNA, 3004 nt
Filed under: Ignavibacteriales bacterium
Lineage: Bacteria; Pseudomonadati; Ignavibacteriota; Ignavibacteria; Ignavibacteriales
Description: 23S ribosomal RNA
Rfam family: Bacterial large subunit ribosomal RNA
Source: RNAcentral
UUUGGUUAAGUUACUAAGGGCGUACGGUGGAUGCCUUGGCACAAAUUGGCGAUGAAGGACGUGACUACCUACGAUAUGCUACGGUAAGGUGGAAAUAACCUAAAACCCGUAGAUUUCCGAAUGGGGCAACCCACACCAAGUAAUGUUGGUGUAUCCGUAUCUGAAUACAUAGGAUAUGUGAAGCAAACCCGGUGAACUGAAACAUCUAAGUAGCCGGAGGAAGAGAAAACAACCGUGAUUUUCUGAGUAGUGGCGAGCGAAAAGGAAACAGCCUAAACUGUCUAACAUGUUAAAGGGCGUAACCGUUGUGUUAGCAGUGUUGUGGGGUGUCUUCUGACUUAUUUACGCUAAGUCGAGAAGUUACAAAUUAUAUUAUUAACUGAAUAUUCUGGAAAGUUUAACUAUAAAGGGUGAUAGUCCCGUAAGUGAAAAUAAUAUAACUUCUUGGAAGACAAUCCCGAGUACCACGAAGUGAGUGGAAUUUUGUGGGAAUCUACCAGAACCAUCUGGUAAGGCUAAAUACACACUUGUGACCGAUAGUGAAUAAGUACCGUGAGGGAAAGGUGAAAAGUACUCCUAACAGGAGGGUGAAAUAGUACCUGAAACCGUGCGCUUACAAGCAGUUGGAGUCCCGUUUACGGGAUGACAGCGUGCCUUUUGGAUAAUGAGCCAACGAGUUACUCGUAUGUUGCAAGGUUAAAUUCUUAAGGAAUGUAGCCGUAGCGAAAGCAAGUCUGAAAUGGGCGUUUAAGUAACAUGCGGUAGACGCGAAACCGUGUGAGCUACCCUUGUCCAGGAUGAAGUGAGGGUAAAACCUCAUGGAGGUCCGAACCAUUGUGGGUUGAAAACCGCUUGGAUGAGAUGAGGGUAGGGGUGAAAGGCCAAUCAAACUCGGAGAUAGCUCGUAUUCCUCGAAAUAGCUUUAGGGCUAGCCUCGAUUAAAAGUAUGACGGAGGUAGAGCACUGAUUGGGCUAGGGCUGUCACAACGGUACCAAACCCAGACAAACUCCGAAUACCGUUCAUAUGUUUUUCGGGAGUCAGGCGAUGUGGGAUAAGCCGUGUUGCCGAGAGGGAAACAACCCAGACCACCAACUAAGGUCCCCAAAUAGUAGUUAACAGAGAAAGGAUGUUGGGUUGCUUAGACAACUAGGAUGUUGGCUUAGAAGCAGCCAUUCAUUUAAAGAGUGCGUAAUAGCUCACUAGUCAAGCGACCCAGCGCCGACAAUUUUCGGGACUUAAACUACUUACCGAAGUUGUGGACUAGAUUUAUCUAGUGGUAGAGGAACAUUCUAUAUGCAUUGAAGGUGAACUGCGAGGUUUAUUGGAGCGUAUAGAAACGCAAAUGUUGGCAUAAGUAACGAUAAUGCAAAUGAAAAAUUUGCACGCCGAAAGUCUAAGGGUUCCUGAGCAAUGUUAAUCAUCUCAGGGUUAGUCGGGUCCUAAGCCGAGGCCGUAAGGCGUAGGUGAUGGAAAACGGGUUAAUAUUCCCGUACCUGGUUAAAUUUGUUUGACUGUAAGGAGGGACGUAGAAGUGAAGGUUAGCCACCUGUUGGAUUAGGUGGUCUAAGCGUGUAGGUGGAAGGUGUAGGCAAAUCCGCACUUUCUUAACACUGAGGCGCGAACGGGAGAGCCUAGCUCAUAAACUAAUCGUAAUCAUGCUACCGAGAAAAUCUUCGUACAGGAAAAUUUAAUCAGUCCGUACCGCAAACCGACACAGGUAGACGGGAUGAGUAUUCUCAGGCGCUCGAGUGAGUCGUGGUUAAGGAACUCGGCAAAUUAACUCCGUAACUUCGGGAGAAGGAGUGCCUCAAUUAGGUGAAAUUUUUUCUUAUGGAGCCGAAAGAGGCCGCAGUGAAAAGGCCCAAGCGACUGUUUAACAAAAACACAUGUCUCUGCGAAGUCAAUUAAGACGAAGUAUAGGGACUGACACCUGCCCGGUGCUGGAAGGUUAAGAGGAGAGGUUAGCUUCGGCGAAGCUUUGAAUCGAAGCCCCAGUAAACGGCGGCCGUAACUAUAACGGUCCUAAGGUAGCGAAAUUCCUUGUCGGGUAAGUUCCGACCUGCACGAAUGGUGCAACGAUUUGGGCACUGUCUCAACCACGAGCUCGGUGAAAUUGUGGUACCGGUGAAGACGCCGGUUACCCGCAGAUGGACGGAAAGACCCCGUGAACCUUUACUGCACCCUAGCAUUGGGUUCGGAUAGGUCAUGUGUAGGAUAGGUGGGAGACUUUGAAGCCGCAACGCUAGUUGUGGUGGAGUCAACGGUGAAAUACCACCCUUGGUUUAUUUGGAUUCUAACUACGACCCUUGAAUCAGGGUUUAGGACAUUGCUAGGCGGGUAGUUUGACUGGGGCGGUCGCCUCCUAAAAUGUAACGGAGGCUCUCAAAGGUUCCCUCAGCACGGUUGGUAAUCGUGCGGCGAGUGUAAAGGCACAAGGGAGCUUAACUGCGAGACAUACAGGUCGAGCAGAUACGAAAGUAGGACUUAGUGAUCCGGCGGUAGCGUGUGGAAGUGCCGUCGCUCAAAGGAUAAAAGGUACUCCGGGGAUAACAGGCUGAUUUUGCCCAAGAGUUCAUAUCGACGGCAAAGUUUGGCACCUCGAUGUCGGCUCAUCGCAUCCUGGGGCUGAAGAAGGUCCCAAGGGUUUGGCUGUUCGCCAAUUAAAGCGGUACGUGAGCUGGGUUCAGAACGUCGUGAGACAGUUCGGUCUCUAUCCUCUGCGGGCGCAGGAUACUUGAGAAGAUUCGCUUCUAGUACGAGAGGACCGAAGUGAACGAACCUCUAGUGUACCAAUUGUCACGCCAGUGGCACGGUUGGGUAGCUACGUUCGGAAAUGAUAAGCGCUGAAAGCAUCUAAGUGCGAAGCAUACUUCAAGAUUAUGUAUCCCUUCCCAUUUAUGGGACUAAAGACUCCUUGGAGAUGACAAGGUUGAUAGGCUGCAGGUAUAAGUACAGUAAUGUAUUCAGCCGAGCAGUACUAAUAGGUCGUGAGACUUAACCAUU